RNAcentral lists this ribosomal RNA (404 nucleotides) under Actinomycetes bacterium. RNAcentral's name for it is "Actinobacteria bacterium partial 16S ribosomal RNA". It matches the Rfam family "Bacterial small subunit ribosomal RNA", at positions 355 to 776 of the family's 1533-position model. The record is from RNAcentral. Lineage: Bacteria; Bacillati; Actinomycetota; Actinomycetes.
UGGGGAAUAUUGGACAAUGGGCGCAAGCCUGAUCCAGCCAUGCCGCGUGAGUGAUGAAGGCCCUAGGGUUGUAAAGCUCUUUCACCGGUGAAGAUAAUGACGGUAACCGGAGAAGAAGCCCCGGAUAACUUCGUGCCAGCAGCCGCGGUAAUACGAAGGGGGCUAGCGUUGUUCGGAUUUACUGGGCGUAAAGCGCACGUAGGCGGACUAUUAAGUCAGGGGUGAAAUCCCGGGGCUCAACCCCGGAACUGCCUUUGAUACUGGUAGUCUUGAGUUCGAGAGAGGUGAGUGGAAUUCCGAGUGUAGAGGUGAAAUUCGUAGAUAUUCGGAGGAACACCAGUGGCGAAGGCGGCUCACUGGCUCGAUACUGACGCUGAGGUGCGAAAGCGUGGGGAGCAAACAGG